GUUGAGCGAGUUUUCAUUGCGGAUCCCUUCGGGGUGAAGCUUUGAUUAUCUUAGCGGCGGACGGGUGAGUAACGCGUGAGAAACCUGCCUUUCACAAAGGGAUAGCCUCGGGAAACUGGGAUUAAUACCUUAUGACACUCUAAUUUCGCAUGAGAUAUGAGUUAAAGCGUAAAGCGGUGAAAGAUGGUCUCGCGUCCCAUUAGUUAGUUGGUGAGGUAACGGCUCACCAAGACAGCGAUGGGUAACCGGCCUGAGAGGGUGAACGGUCACACUGGAACUGAGACACGGUCCAGACUCCUACGGGAGGCAGCAGUGGGGAAUAUUGCACAAUGGAGGAAACUCUGAUGCAGCGACGCCGCGUGAAUGAUGAAGGCCUUAGGGUCGUAAAAUUCUGUCCUAGGGGACGAUAAUGACGGUACCCUAGGAGGAAGCCCCGGCUAACUACGUGCCAGCAGCCGCGGUAAUACGUAGGGGGCAAGCGUUGUCCGGAUUUAUUGGGCGUAAAGGGUACGCAGGCGGUCUUUUAAGUCAGAUGUGAAAUCUUACGGCUCAACCGUAAUCAGCAUUUGAAACUGGAAGACUUGAAUCAAGGAGAGGAAAGUGGAAUUCCUAGUGUAGCGGUGAAAUGCGUAGAUAUUAGGAGGAAUACCAGUGGCGAAGGCGACUUUCUGGACUUGUAUUGACGCUGAGGUACG
RNAcentral lists this ribosomal RNA (695 nucleotides) under bacterium enrichment culture. RNAcentral's name for it is "bacterial SSU rRNA". It matches the Rfam family "Bacterial small subunit ribosomal RNA", at positions 61 to 755 of the family's 1533-position model. The record is from RNAcentral.